AAGAGACAACAGUGUUAAGCAGCACACCACGGCAGGUUGCAGGUGCAACUGAGCCCUUUGUUAUCUGUUUCAGUUGUUUGGACGGACAUUUUCUGCCCAACUGCUGUGAGCAUGUGGCUCCUGGGUUUCAGCCUCCUGUUACUGGCUGAUGCUGUAGCACCCGACCCCUGCACCGACCACAAGUACAUCUACGACAAGGGAGGUAGCAGUCCGAAAUGUCCCUAUCAGCCAGAGGAGUGUGACCGCUACAUCACCGAGAACUGGUACAAGGUGGUCAAUUACUAUGGAGCUCUGGAGAUGCCAAAAUCGCACGUGGACAUCAACAGCUGCGGCGCCAACUACCCAGGCUGGCUGAAUGGAACCCUUCCGUCCGACGCUGACUGUAUUAGGAACAUGCAGUUUGUGUCAGUUUCUACAAUGAACCCUGCAAAAAGCAAAUUACAAUCCAGGUGGAAAACUGUAGUCAUUUCUAUGUAUACUACCUAAAGAAGAUGGACGGCUGUUCUGAGAGAUACUGCUUUGGUACAGAUGGCGAUUGUCCAACUACCACAGUAGCACCAACUACAGCAGCACCAACUACAGCAGCACCUACUACAGCAGCACCAACUACUGCCCAACCCACACUUACCCCUAGAACUGUCAAUAAUUAUUGUGAGUGCACCUCGGAGAUCUACCGCACAUUGACGAUCUGUCUGGCAACAUUGGGGGCAGCAGCGGUGUUGUGUUUCCUAUUAAAGCUAUAUUACAAUUCGACGCGUCCUCGGGUCUCGGUCCUCGAUCUUACGAAGCCGGCUGAAAAAACAGCAUUGCCCCCCUAAAAUAUGCGUACUUAGUUGGUCGUUUCAUUGUAGAAAUCUCUGUUCAUACAUGUGUAAGACAUGAUAGAGAACUUUAUUGUGUAAAUAUCGAGACGGUUAAAGAUAAACAUAUGUAUUCUUUGACUAUUUAAGAAUUGACUUUCACUUAGAGUUCAAGGCAUGAACCUUCAUAAGAUGAGGGCCACACUGUAUGAACGUCGGAGCUUGCGAUGACGUUUAUGCAAUGCCCGGCCCUCACUCUAUGAAGGUUCAUACACCAAUAAACUCACACAAAAUGAAAGUAAAUAUAAUUUUUUAUAUCACUAUUGUAUAAGUCGGGGGAUGGAUUCUUCUUGAACAUCUAUUGUGGUUUGGUUACAACAAAUAAAUUCAAAAAAUAUUAUUAUUUAUGAUGAAAAUGUCUCUAAAGAACAAUCUCAAUAAGUCAGUCAUGGUGGCGGCGCGUCGUAAGACAUUUACAUCAUAUACAGAAAGUCAAAAUGGCCGACACGAUAAACGUAACGGGAGAGAUUUCCGAAGUUGUUCAUGAACCUGUGGCGAUUACAAAAUAUUAGUCUUCAUUGAUCAACAGGCCGAUCAGUGAAAGGAGACUACAUGUAUAAAGAUGUGUCAAAUAGAUACUAGUACUGAGGUAAAUUUAAAGUAUGCUGUUUGCGGUUACUUGUCAGUCUGGACAGCAAUCGAGUCCAUAGUUUUGAUGUGAUAUUCUUCGUUUUGUUCACUAGGAUGGAUCGUGGCGCGGAUAUUCUUGAAUGGGCAUACAAUUAAACUCUCUGAAAUAUCGCCAUGUAUGGUAAAAUGCUAUGUUCAAAAUUAUAGAGUCUAAAUUAGAAAGAACGCUGUUGCAUUUAUUCAUGCAUUCAUGCAAGGGAAUUCCCAAUGGUUUCCUCAGGAAUGUGGAGGCAGUCCGCCAGUGAACACGUCAUUUCGAGAAUACAGUCUCGUAAAAUACGAAUGAACGUCAAAAUGUGUUGUAGAUACACUUAUGGACGUCAGCUUCGCGCCAGGUGACCGAUUAUCGUCCAAUGGAAAGCCGUAUAUCGUGUAAGCGUCACAUUAUAAAGUGACAAGGUUAGAUUUGUGUCGUUUUGCAACUUAUUCAUAUGACAUAUGUAUUAUCAUGUUCCAUGUGCUUGUAUCCUGACAUGAUUUAUCUCCCCUUGUAUGUAUAUGUUGGAAUGUCGUUUUCGUUAUUGUAUUUUCACCUGUGUCUGGUUACUAUUGUGAUAUUGUGACUGUAAUUGAUAAACAGUUUAAUACAUAUAAUUCAAACUCUGA
Haliotis rufescens (red abalone) is the source of this 2096-nucleotide long non-coding RNA. RefSeq lists it as uncharacterized. The record is from RefSeq and is a predicted model, not a curated record. Lineage: Eukaryota; Metazoa; Mollusca; Gastropoda; Lepetellida; Haliotidae. The transcript is spliced from 6 exons.